This 454-nucleotide ribosomal RNA is filed under the name uncultured Rikenella sp. RNAcentral's name for it is "partial 16S ribosomal RNA". It matches the Rfam family "Bacterial small subunit ribosomal RNA", at positions 341 to 792 of the family's 1533-position model. The record is from RNAcentral. Lineage: Bacteria; Pseudomonadati; Bacteroidota; Bacteroidia; Bacteroidales; Rikenellaceae.
ACGGGAGGCAGCAGUGAGGAAUAUUGGUCAAUGGACGGAAGUCUGAACCAGCCAUGCCGCGUGAAGGAAUAAGGCCCUAUGGGUCGUAAACUUCUUUUGAGUGGGAGCAAUAAGGUGCACGCGUGCAUCGAUGAGAGUACCAUUCGAAUAAGCAUCGGCUAACUCCGUGCCAGCAGCCGCGGUAAUACGGAGGAUGCAAGCGUUAUCCGGAUUUAUUGGGUUUAAAGGGUGCGUAGGCUGUUUGUCAAGUCAGGGGUGAAAUGCCGAGGCUUAACCUUGGAAUUGCCUUUGAUACUGGCAGGCUUGAAUACAGUUGCCGUGGGAGGAAUGAGUAGUGUAGCGGUGAAAUGCAUAGAUAUUACUCAGAACACCGAUUGCGAAGGCAUCUCACGAAACUGCGAUUGACGCUGAGGCACGAAAGUGUGGGGAUCAAACAGGAUUAGAUACCCUGGUA